Molecule: unclassified non-coding RNA, 812 nt
Filed under: Hevea brasiliensis (rubber tree)
Lineage: Eukaryota; Viridiplantae; Streptophyta; Magnoliopsida; Malpighiales; Euphorbiaceae
Source: RNAcentral
UAAACAUUAUCAGGGCCCUCAGGAUGGGGUCCUGCUUGUCUGCAGAAAGCAGGAGCCCUCGCCCUGGUACGCCUUCCUCUCCUGCUUUUGGGAUAAGGAAGAGGAAGAACUCGAAGAAGCGACCAGGGUCACGGAAUUCUUCUUUUGACUAUAGGAGGGAAGAGCCACUUCAUCGGAUUCCGGGGAGGUUGUUCUUGAAUGGGUCGAGCGAUACUGCUUCACUGUUUACCCAACAGGGCAAGAAAGGGACCAAUCAAGAUGCCAUGAUUGUUUGGGAGAACUUUGGAUCAAGGACAGAUACAGUAUUUUGUGGAGUUUUUGAUGGCCAUGGUCCUUAUGGUCAUAUGGUUGCUAAAAGAGUGAGGGAUCACCUUCCCUUAAAACUGAGUGCUCAUUGGGAAGUCAAUAUAACUAGUGAGGAUGUUCUCAAAGAGAUUAGCCUUAAUACUACUGGAAGCAUGAAUUCUGAAGACACUGCUUUCAUAUCUGCUGAUGAAGAAUCUAGGGCUUCUGUUGAUCUUGAGGACACUGAAAAGCAUCCAGAUUUUUUUCAGACACUGAAAGAGUCAUUUCUCAAGGCUUUCAAAGUCAUGGACAGGGAACUGAAAGUGCACACAAAUAUUGAUUGCUUUUGCAGUGGGACUACAGCAGUUACAUUGAUCAAGCAGGGCCAGUAUCUUGUCGUCGGUAAUGUUGGNCAGGGCUGUACUGGGUACAAGGGACAAGGAUGACUCUCUUGUUGCAGUUCAGUUGACCGUUGAUCUCAAACCAAAUCUUCCAGCGGAAGAGGAAAGAAUUAGGAAGUGUAAAGG